GCAGUAGCCGCGGGAAUACGUAGGGUGCAAGCGUUGUCCGGAAUUAUUGGGCGUAAAGAGCUCGUAGGCGGUUUGUCGCGUCUGCUGUGAAAUCCCGAGGCUCAACCUCGGGCUUGCAGUGGGUACGGGCAGACUAGAGUGCGGUAGGGGAGAUUGGAAUUCCUGGUGUAGCGGUGGAAUGCGCAGAUAUCAGGAGGAACACCGAUGGCGAAGGCAGAUCUCUGGGCCGUAACUGACGCUGAGGAGCGAAAGCGUGGGGAGCGAACAGGAUUAGAUACCCGAGUAGUCCCUGUCUCUUAUAA
Molecule: ribosomal RNA, 302 nt
Filed under: uncultured bacterium
Lineage: Bacteria
Description: partial 16S ribosomal RNA
Rfam family: Bacterial small subunit ribosomal RNA
Source: RNAcentral